CAGCAGCCGCGGGAAAACGUAGGGUGCGAGCGUUAAUCGGAAUUACUGGGCGUAAAGCGUGCGCAGGCGGUUCGUUAAGACAGAUGUGAAAUCCCCGGGCUUAACCUGGGAACUGCAUUUGUGACUGGCAAGCUAGAGUGUGGCAGAGGGGGGUGGAAUUCCGCGUGUAGCAGUGAAAUGCGUAGAUAUGCGGAGGAACACCGAUGGCGAAGGCAAUCCCCUGGGCCUGCACUGACGCUCAUGCACGAAAGCGUGGGGAGCAAACGGGAUUAGAUACCCCUGUAGUCCCUGUCUCUUAUAC
This 301-nucleotide ribosomal RNA is filed under the name uncultured bacterium. RNAcentral's name for it is "partial 16S ribosomal RNA". It matches the Rfam family "Bacterial small subunit ribosomal RNA", at positions 509 to 807 of the family's 1533-position model. The record is from RNAcentral.